RNAcentral lists this ribosomal RNA (272 nucleotides) under uncultured bacterium. RNAcentral describes it as "partial 16S ribosomal RNA". The record is from RNAcentral.
CUGCUGCCUUCCGUAGGAGUUUGGGCCGUGUCUCAGUCCCAACGUGGCCGUUCACCCUCUCAGGCCGGCUACUGAUCGUCGCCUUGGUGGGCCGUUACCCCUCCAACCAGCUAAUCAGACGCGGGUCCAUCCUGUACCACCGGAGUUUUUCACACUGUACCAUGCGGUACUGUGCGCUUAUGCGGUUUUAGCACCUAUUUCUAAGUGUUAUCCCCCUGUACAGGGCAGGUUACCCACGCGUUACUCACCCGUCCGCCACUAAGAUAAACAGG